ACGAACGCUGGCGGCGUGCCUAAUACAUGCAAGUUGAGCGCUGAAGGUUGGUACUUGUACCAACUGGAUGAGCAGCGAACGGGUGAGUAACGCGUGGGGAAUCUGCCUUUGAGCGGGGGACAACAUUUGGAAACGAAUGCUAAUACCGCAUAAAAACUUUAAACACAAGUUUUAAGUUUGAAAGAUGCAAUUGCAUCACUCAAAGAUGAUCCCGCGUUGUAUUAGCUAGUUGGUGAGGUAAAGGCUCACCAAGGCGAUGAUACAUAGCCGACCUGAGAGGGUGAACGGCCAAAUUGGGAAUGAGACAACGGCCAAAACCCUACGGGAGGCAGCAGUAGGGAAUCUUCGGCAAUGGACGAAAGUCUGACCGAGGAACGCCGCGUGAGUGAAGAAGGUUUUCGGAUCGGAAAACUCUGUUUGUAGAGAAGAACGUGGGUGAGAGUGGAAAGCUCAUCAAGUGACGGUAACUACACAGAAAGGGACGGCUAACUACGUG
RNAcentral lists this ribosomal RNA (496 nucleotides) under uncultured bacterium. RNAcentral describes it as "partial 16S ribosomal RNA". It matches the Rfam family "Bacterial small subunit ribosomal RNA", at positions 30 to 507 of the family's 1533-position model. The record is from RNAcentral.